CCUACGGGGGGCAGCAGUGGGGAAUAUUGGACAAUGGGGGGAACCCUGAUCCAGCCAUGCCGUGUGUGUGAAGAAGGCCCUCGGGUUGUAAAGCACUUUCAGUGAGGAAGAACGCCUGGUGGUUAAUACCCAUCAGGAAAGACAUCACUCACAGAAGAAGCACCGGCUAACUCCGUGCCAGCAGCCGCGGUAAUACGGAGGGUGCGAGCGUUAAUCGGAAUUACUGGGCGUAAAGCGCGCGUAGGUGGCUUGAUAAGCCGGUUGUGAAAGCCCCGGGCUCAACCUGGGAACGGCAUCCGGAACUGUCAAGCUAGAGUGCAGGAGAGGAAGGUAGAAUUCCCGGUGUAGCGGUGAAAUGCGUAGAGAUCGGGAGGAAUACCAGUGGCGAAGGCGGCCUUCAGGACUGACACUGACACUGAGGUGCGAAAGCGUGGGUAGCAAACAGGAUUAGAUACCCCGGUAGUC
RNAcentral lists this ribosomal RNA (465 nucleotides) under Vreelandella stevensii. RNAcentral describes it as "partial 16S ribosomal RNA". It matches the Rfam family "Bacterial small subunit ribosomal RNA", at positions 338 to 795 of the family's 1533-position model. Lineage: Bacteria; Pseudomonadati; Pseudomonadota; Gammaproteobacteria; Oceanospirillales; Halomonadaceae. The record is from RNAcentral.